This 505-nucleotide ribosomal RNA is filed under the name uncultured bacterium. RNAcentral's name for it is "partial 16S ribosomal RNA". It matches the Rfam family "Bacterial small subunit ribosomal RNA", at positions 28 to 507 of the family's 1533-position model. The record is from RNAcentral.
GACGAACGCUGGCGGCGUGCCUAAUACAUGCAAGUAGAACGCACAGUUUAUACCGUAGCUUGCUACACCAUAGACUGUGAGUUGCGAACGGGUGAGUAACGCGUAGGUAACCUGCCUGGUAGCGGAGGAUAACUAUUGGAAACGAUAGCUAAUACCGCAUAAUAUUGAUUAUUGCAUGAUAAUUGAUUGAAAGAUGCUAUUGCAUCACUACCAGAUGGACCUGCGUUGUAUUAGCUAGUAGGUGAGGUAACGGCUCACCUAGGCGACGAUACAUAGCCGACCUGAGAGGGUGAUCGGCCACACUGGGACUGAGACACGGCCCAGACUCCUACGGGAGGCAGCAGUAGGGAAUCUUCGGCAAUGGACGAAAGUCUGACCGAGCAACGCCGCGUGAGUGAAGAAGGUUUUCGGAUCGUAAAGCUCUGUUGUAAGAGAAGAACGGGUGUGAGAGUGGAAAGUUCACACUGUGACGGUAUCUUACCAGAAAGGGACGGCUAACUACGUG